This 253-nucleotide ribosomal RNA is filed under the name uncultured bacterium. RNAcentral's name for it is "partial 16S ribosomal RNA". It matches the Rfam family "Bacterial small subunit ribosomal RNA", at positions 524 to 776 of the family's 1533-position model. The record is from RNAcentral.
UACGAAGGGGGCUAGCGUUGUUCGGAAUUACUGGGCGUAAAGCGUGCGCAGGCGGUUUUGUAAGUCUGUCGUGAAAGCCCCGGGCUCAACCUGGGAAUUGCGAUGGAGACUGCAAGGCUUGAGUCUGGCAGAGGGGGGUAGAAUUCCACGUGUAGCAGUGAAAUGCGUAGAGAUGUGGAGGAACACCGAUGGCGAAGGCAGCCCCCUGGGUCAAGAUUGACGCUCAUGCACGAAAGCGUGGGGAGCAAACAGG